Molecule: ribosomal RNA, 318 nt
Filed under: uncultured bacterium
Lineage: Bacteria
Description: bacterial SSU rRNA
Rfam family: Bacterial small subunit ribosomal RNA
Source: RNAcentral
AGCGAACGCUGGCGGCAGGCUUAACACAUGCAAGUCGAACGAACCCUUCGGGGUUAGUGGCGGACGGGUGAGUAACACGUGGGAACGUGCCUUUUGGUUCGGAACAACACAGGGAAACUUGUGCUAAUACCGGAUGUGCCCUUCGGGGGAAAGGAUUAUCGCCAUUAGAGCGGCCCGCGUCUGAUUAGCUUGUUGGUGAGGUAAAGGCUCACCAAGGCUACGAUCAGUAGCUGGUCUGAGAGGANGAUCAGCCACACUGGGACGUGAGACACGGCCCAGACUCCUACGGGAGGCAGCAGUGGGGAAGUCUUGCGCAAU